GCCGGGUGUGGUGGCACGCGCUUGUAAUCCCAGCUACUUGGGAGGCUGAGGCAGGAGAAUCGCUUGAACCCGGGAGGUGGAAGUUGCAGUGAGCCAAGAUUGCACCACUGCACUUCAGCCUGGGUGACAGAGUGAGACUCUGCCUCAA
RNAcentral lists this non-coding RNA (148 nucleotides) under Gorilla gorilla gorilla (western lowland gorilla). Lineage: Eukaryota; Metazoa; Chordata; Mammalia; Primates; Hominidae. The record is from Rfam by way of RNAcentral.